Molecule: ribosomal RNA, 300 nt
Filed under: uncultured Methylobacteriaceae bacterium
Lineage: Bacteria; Pseudomonadati; Pseudomonadota; Alphaproteobacteria; Hyphomicrobiales; Methylobacteriaceae
Description: bacterial SSU rRNA
Rfam family: Bacterial small subunit ribosomal RNA
Source: RNAcentral
CGCGUGGGAACGUACCCUUUGGUUCGGAAUAACUCAGGGAAACUUGAGCUAAUACCGGAUACGCCCUUUUGGGGAAAGGCUUGCUGCCGAAGGAUCGGCCCGCGUCUGAUUAGCUGGUUGGUGAGGUUAUGGCUCACCAAGGCGACGAUCAGUAGCUGGUCUGAGAGGAUGAUCAGCCACACUGGGACUGAGACACGGCCCAGACUCCUACGGGAGGCAGCAGUGGGGAAUAUUGGACAAUGGGGGCGAACCCUGAUCCAGCCAUGCCGCGUGUGUGAAGAAGGCUCUAGGGUUGUAAAG